GAGGGUGUAGCUCAGUGGUAGAGUGCGCGCUUAGCAUGCAUGAGGCCCUGGGUUCAAUCCCCAGUAUCUCCA
This 72-nucleotide transfer RNA is filed under the name Camelus bactrianus (Bactrian camel). It matches the Rfam family "tRNA". Rfam says of the family: Transfer RNA (tRNA) molecules are approximately 80 nucleotides in length. Their secondary structure includes four short double-helical elements and three loops (D, anti-codon, and T loops). Lineage: Eukaryota; Metazoa; Chordata; Mammalia; Artiodactyla; Camelidae. The record is from Rfam by way of RNAcentral. RNAcentral also lists the same sequence under 2 other names.